Molecule: ribosomal RNA, 439 nt
Filed under: uncultured bacterium
Lineage: Bacteria
Description: partial 16S ribosomal RNA
Rfam family: Bacterial small subunit ribosomal RNA
Source: RNAcentral
CUACGGGUUGCAGCAGUGAGGAAUAUUGCACAAUAGAGGAAACUCUGAUGCAGCAACGCCGCGUGGAGGAUGACGCAUUUCGGUGUGUAAACUCCUUUUAUAUGUCAAGAAAAUGACGGUAGCAUAUGAAUAAGCACCGGCUAACUCCGUGCCAGCAGCCGCGGUAAUACGGAGGGUGCAAGCGUUACUCGGAAUCACUGGGCGUAAAGGACGCGUAGGCGGGUUGGAAAGUCAGGUGUGAAAUCCUACAGCUUAACUGUAGAACUGCACUUGAAACUUCUAAUCUAGAGUAUGGGAGGGGGAGAUGGAAUUAGUGGUGUAGGGGUAAAAUCCGUAGAUAUCACUAGGAAUACCUAAAGCGAAGGCGAACUCCUGGAACAUUACUGACGCUAAGGCGUGAAAGCGUGGGGAGCAAACAGGAUUAGAUACCCCUGUAAUC